CGUGGGCCUCUGCGGGAUGGUAUUUAAUCGUCUCUCCGUGCCAAUUUUGGUCUCAUUGUUCUACUGACGCUGGGUUUACGCGCACGUUGGAAUCGAAGAGAGCUCUAUGUUACAAUGUUUAGCCCACAAGAGCUCACUGGUGAAGGAAUGGGACAAGACCCAUCUUUCUGCAAAGCCAGCGUUACAGUAAUGUUCCAGCAUUUCAUAAUCUAUCCUGAGGAAUUCAGCUGCCUCCCAGGGUGAAUACAGGUAUUCCUCAUGACAAUCUGCCUCUAUCUUACAGUGUUAGUAACCAAUAACCUCUUGGGCUCUAAGGUGAGUAAUUUCACUGUAUUCAAUGCAUCCAGCAUAUAGAGUAGAAAAAACUGCCUUUUUAGGCCUGUAUAUAUGAUGACUUACAUGGAAUCUCGUUCGGCUGAUGACUUGCUGUUGAGACUCUGAAAUCUGAUUUUCUAAGAAUGAUGCAUGGGAACAACUUAAUGCAGGAUAGGAGAAGCACUGCUGACUUGGUCUUCCUCCUUUCAGGGCCAGCACCUUGUCUCUAGCACUCAAGAGGAGUUUGAGGAAAACUAGGUGUUACUGUUCACUCCAGACUACAGUUACAGGUCUGAGUAAAGAACAAGGUGCAUAAGAAAUGGAAUCUGUCUUGGAGGACAUCAGAAGGUGAAUUUUCCAAGUCCUUGGAUAACCUAGCUGUUGAAGUUACCACAGCAUAAUUUUAGUCGUCUUAAUGGCGUGGCUGCUUUUUUUUUUUCAAAGCUUUACUGUGAAUCAUGCCUUUGGGUGGGUCUACCUGGGCACAAGGAAGUGACCCCUUGCUAGUUUGCUAUUUUUAACUGGGUUUUACCCAGCUUGCUUAGGCAGUCUGUCUAAUGCUGCAUUUCCUACUCCAAGGCAGCAUUCAAGGAGCCUAAUUUAUCAGCACACUUUAGGGACUUUUUCCCUAGAUGUACCUCACUGAAGGAAUUUUAAAUGAAAAGCUCGCUGGGUUUAGGGGGUCUUUUAGAUGUAUUUUAUCACCCGCUUCCUGCAACAUGAUUUCUGUGGAAUCUACCUGCCCUUUUGUUUUUUAGAUACAAGGGCUUGGUUUUACUACCAAGGCUGCGCUCAAGGCCCCGGCUUUAAGAGAUCCUCCCACCACAGAUUUCCAAAGUGCUGGGAUUGUAGGUGUGAUUCUUGGCACCCAGACUUUGCUGCCUUUCUUACAUGAUCCAAGCCCAGAACCAAAACUCAGGCACUGCAUAGAUGGCCAGUUUGGCAAACUACUGACCUAGCUUGUUGCCAAUUGUUGAUUGAGCUUCCCAUAACUCCAUUUCUGUUCCUCUGUAUAGAGCCACCUUCUAUUCCCAUCAUGAGCCUUUAGGUCUCCAUUUGCAUGUUGCAAAUACUAUGUGCCAUGUAGGUAGCUCAUUCAGGGCGUUGCUCUAAACUACAAAAAAGGUUCCCUUGAGGAGUGGCUGUCAAUUUGUGUUGCUGUAUUGGUUGUUGAUGAAAAUAAAAAAAUGAUUGAUUACAUA
Molecule: long non-coding RNA, 1517 nt
Organism: Cercocebus atys (sooty mangabey)
Lineage: Eukaryota; Metazoa; Chordata; Mammalia; Primates; Cercopithecidae
Exons: 9
Source: RefSeq, a predicted model, not a curated record